UCCUUUGUGAAGAGGAAUCUGAAGGAAGCAAUAGGCAAAGUCUUGGUUUGAGGAAUACGAAUCACAUAUAAGGCUAGUCUAGAGAAGAUGAGUUUGCAUUACAAAGCAAAGUCCAACACUAUCCGAAUUUCUAGAGAGUAGAUGUGACAGAUAUAUGAGAUGAAGGUUGACGUU
Clostridium oryzae is the source of this 174-nucleotide non-coding RNA. Lineage: Bacteria; Bacillati; Bacillota; Clostridia; Eubacteriales; Clostridiaceae. The record is from Rfam.